RNAcentral lists this ribosomal RNA (253 nucleotides) under uncultured bacterium. RNAcentral's name for it is "partial 16S ribosomal RNA". It matches the Rfam family "Bacterial small subunit ribosomal RNA", at positions 524 to 776 of the family's 1533-position model. The record is from RNAcentral.
UACGUAGGGUGCGAGCGUUGUCCGGAAUUAUUGGGCGUAAAGGACUCGUAGGCGGUUUGUCGCGUCGGGAGUGAAAACACCGGGCUUAACUCGGUGCUUGCUUUCGAUACGGGCAGACUAGAGGCAUGCAGGGGAGAACGGAAUUCCUGGUGUAGCGGUGAAAUGCGCAGAUAUCAGGAGGAACACCGGUGGCGAAGGCGGUUCUCUGGGCAUGUCCUGACGCUGAGGAGCGAAAGUGUGGGGAGCGAACAGG